Molecule: long non-coding RNA, 1032 nt
Filed under: Oncorhynchus kisutch (coho salmon)
Lineage: Eukaryota; Metazoa; Chordata; Actinopteri; Salmoniformes; Salmonidae
Description: lncRNA (ENSOKIG00005013452.1)
Source: RNAcentral
UGGCCCGUCUUUGGACACUGUGCUAUCUAACCUCCAAACAAGCUUCAAUGCCAUACAACACUCCUUCCGUGGCCUCCAACUGCUCUUAAACGCUAGUAAAACCAAAUGCAUGCUUUUCAACCGGUCGCUGCCUGCACCCGCAUGCCCGACUAGCAUCACCACCCUGGAUGGUUCCGACCUAGAAUAUGUGGACGUCUAUAAGUACCUAGGUGUCUGGCUAGACUGCAAACUCUCCUUCCAGACUCAUAUCAAACAUCUCCAAUCGAAAAUCAAAUCAAGAGUCGGCUUUCUAUUCCGCAACAAAGCCUCCUUCACUCACGCCGCCAAGCUUACCCUAGUAAAACUGACUAUCCUACCGAUCCUCGACUUCGGCGAUGUCAUCUACAAAAUGGCUUCCAACACUCUACUCAGCAAACUGGAUGCAGUCUAUCACAGUGCCAUCCGUUUCGUCACUAAAGCACCUUAUACCACCCACCACUGCGACUUGUAUGCUCUAGUCGGCUGGCCCUCGCUACAUAUUCGUCGCCAGACCCACUGGCUCCAGGUCAUCUACAAGUCCAUGCUAGGUAAAGCUCCGCCUUAUCUCAGCUCACUGGUCACGAUGGCAACACCCAUCCGUAGCACGCGCUCCAGCAGGUGUAUCUCACUGAUCAUCCCUAAAGCCAACACCUCAUUUGGCCGCCUUUCGUUCCAGUACUCUGCUGCCUGUGACUGGAACGAAUUGCAAAAAUCGCUGAAGUUGGAGACUUUUAUCUCCCUCACCAACUUCAAACAUCAGCUAUCUGAGCAGCUAACCGAUCGCUGCAGCUGUACAUAGUCUAUUGGUAAAUAGCCCACCCUUUUUCACCUACCUCAUCCCCAUACUGUUUUUAUUUAUUUACUUUUCUGCUCUUUUGCACACCAAUAUCUCUACCUGUACAUGACCAUCUGAUCAUUCAUCACUCCAGUGUUAAUCUGCAAAUUUGUAAUUAUUUGCCUACCUCCUCAUGCCUUUUGCACACAUUGUAUAUAGACUCCCCCUUUGGUUUCUAC